This 449-nucleotide ribosomal RNA is filed under the name uncultured bacterium. RNAcentral's name for it is "partial 16S ribosomal RNA". It matches the Rfam family "Bacterial small subunit ribosomal RNA", at positions 29 to 523 of the family's 1533-position model. The record is from RNAcentral.
AGCGAACGCUGGCGGCAGGCCUAACACAUGCAAGUCGAACGGAUCCUUCGGGAUUAGUGGCGGACGGGUGAGUAACACGUGGGAACGUGCCCUUUGGUUCGGAACAACUCAGGGAAACUUGAGCUAAUACCGGAUGUGCCCUUCGGGGGAAAGAUUUAUCGCCAUUGGAGCGGCCCGCGUCUGAUUAGCUAGUUGGUGAGGUAAAAGCUCACCAAGGCGACGAUCAGUAGCUGGUCUGAGAGGAUGAUCAGCCACAUUGGGACUGAGACACGGCCCAAACUCCUACGGGAGGCAGCAGUGGGGAAUCUUGCGCAAUGGGCGAAAGCCUGACGCAGCCGUGCCGCGUGGAUGAUGAAGGUCUUAGGAUUGUAAAAUUCUUUCACCGGGGACGAUAAUGACGGUACCCGGAGAAGAAGCCCCGGCUAACUUCGUGCCAGCCGCCGCCGUAA